AAAAAAAAAACAACACUCACCUGUGUUCCCAAGAGGAAAAGUCCUGUGCACCUCAAUGUGCAGCCACUGCCAGUGAGACCAGAGAGGUGUGAAAGCAAGCAUCAGGACAUGAAAAAUCCCAACUGAGGUUUGUGGGUUUGUAAAUUUACCUGAAACAUAAUAAGUGUAAAGCUUGUGAAGAUGUGAAGAUCCAGCAGAUUAGAAGUAACACAUGAAGUAAAUGCAACUAUAUACAGCUGUCAAUCUGGCAAAUAUGAAAUAUAGUUUUUAUAUAUGUGGAUAUACAUAUAUGUACAUACAUAUCUAAUUAAAAAAAAAAAAACAAAAACAAAAACAAAACAAACAAAAAACAAACAAACAAACAAACCAAAAAAAACACACAAAAAAAACCUACCUGAUUUUAGGAAAGGUCUGACUGAGAAAAGGAUUCUUAGUAAACUUAACUUUGAAAUACUUUUGAAGGGUAAUUAAUAAAGGGCAUUAAAUUCCUGCAGGAUUUUACUGCAUAUUAUGUGCUGUGAGUGAUUUUUCUUCACUUGCAGUCAUGCUGGGGACAAUGCAAUGAGGUUUGCCAGAGGCUGAAUGCACAGCUGUGAUGUUCAGGCAGAGUAUGCCCUGAGGAUGGGUUCAGGUGUCUUCUGACUACCCCCACCCCAGGGCUUACCACACGUCCCUUGCUCCCACAGGUGGUCUCCACCAAAGCUUGAUGAGAUCCAGCUACUCCCCUGGGACAACAAGGGUGCGAAUGGGACUGCAUGCAGCCAGGUAGGUCCAGACUGAGAACAAUAGUUUGAGAUUAAACACAAGAAGAAACCAGUGGAGGCUGGUGAGACAAAUCUGCGUGGGUAGGAACUGGGGAGUGAUUUUGUUGGUUUUAGCUCAGUAAGGCCUUUCAGCUGCGUUUGGUGUUUCCAUGCUUAGGAAGGUGUCGGAACUGAACAGAACAACUCAACUUAGGACAUGGAGGUAUGCAAGCCAUGUUUCUAAGAGGCCAGAUGUUUUACCUCCAGGGAAGGUAGCACCAAGAAUCCAUAGGAUUGCUCACAGGAGACCGAGACUUACACAGCUGGAAAAGGAUUUCGAGAUCUAUUCCUGUAGAGUAGAACAAGAUCCAUUAUACCCAUGUCAUUCUUGACAAAAGUCUUAUUUGGUCCUGGCCAGAGGGACCCCACAGACUACUCAAUGGGGUGCUGCACUCCCUGUCCUAUUGGAAGGUUUCCAGAACAUCUGUUUUGAACCUUCUUCAUGGUAAGUCAAGCCCUCUAUACCUUGUCCUAUUCCCAGUGAUGCACAGAACAACAUAUUACUUAUCCUUGCAUCAUGAGGGCGCUUUACGUAUUUUGGGAUAUUUACUUUGAUGUUUACAUCACAAGAGUAUUCCUGGGCAGCCUCAGUUUGCUUUGCCUUUCCUCUGAGGUCAUGUUUCUGAGAUCAUUCCUGCUGGCCUCUCCUCUGGACUCUCUCUAGUGUUUGUGUAUUUUAUCCGGUGACUAUUAAUACAAAAUGUGGCGACGUAAAAAGUUGCUUUUGGCGCCUGUGGAUGGUCCAAGCUGUGGGGAGAUCCACAUGAGCCAGGAUUUCUCCACAGCUGUCUGGGCCCUUCUGUCCUCUGUGGAAUGCGUGCGGUGAGAAAUUGGUACACAAAUUGUGCUUGCAGCAACGACGAAUGCGGGGAAAGGGAACAUAUGUGAAUGUCCUCUGACAGUUAAACAAGACAGACAGU
RNAcentral lists this long non-coding RNA (1723 nucleotides) under Anas platyrhynchos platyrhynchos (common mallard). RNAcentral describes it as "lncRNA (ENSAPLG00000016774.1)". Lineage: Eukaryota; Metazoa; Chordata; Aves; Anseriformes; Anatidae. The record is from RNAcentral.